UACGUAGGGUGCAGGCGUUAAUCGGAAUUACUGGGCGUAAAGCGUGCGUAGGCGGUUUGUUAAGACAGGUGUGAAAUCCCCGGGCUUAACCUGGGAACUGCGCUUGUUACUGGCAGACUGGAGUGUGGCAGAGGGGGGUGGAAUUCCAGGUGUAGCAGUGAAAUGCGUAGAUAUCUGGAGGAACACCGAUGGCGAAGGCAGCCCCCUGGGCUCACACUGACGCUGAUGCACGAAAGCGUGGGGAGCAAACAGG
RNAcentral lists this ribosomal RNA (253 nucleotides) under uncultured bacterium. Its description in RNAcentral is "partial 16S ribosomal RNA". It matches the Rfam family "Bacterial small subunit ribosomal RNA", at positions 524 to 776 of the family's 1533-position model. The record is from RNAcentral.